Long non-coding RNA from Mobula hypostoma (lesser devil ray), 1188 nucleotides. RefSeq lists it as uncharacterized. NCBI's taxonomy places the organism in Eukaryota, Metazoa, Chordata, Chondrichthyes, Myliobatiformes, Myliobatidae. The transcript is spliced from 4 exons. The record is from RefSeq and is a predicted model, not a curated record.
UAGAAGGAAGGAUUGAGACAAAUCCUACCACCUCAUCAAUCAAAGUGCAUUUGAGCAAUGAAUUUGGAAAUGAGAAAUUGCUACAAGUUAACAAGACAACAUCAUAACGUAACACAGACUGGAAUUGGUGCUGACCACUGUCCAAAGCUAUCACACUGCAGAGUCACUGAUCCGUUCAAUGAGAAGCCCUUCAUGCAACCAAACUCGCAAACUGAGAGGUUUGCACAAUUCACAACUGCAAGAAACAAGAGGGAACCUUUUGUUUUCAAACCAUAACACCUCAGACCUGUGGGUUUCAAAUCUUAAGGUCAUUGCUAUCGUUUGGAAAAUUGAAUUAUUCUAUUCCUAGCACCCAAUGGCUGCUCCAAACCAUCUGGAAUCUGCCAGAAGUUAGGAAAAGCUAUUUCUAUUCUGUUCCAAUUGCAGCAAUGAAUCCUUCCAUACCUGUGUGACAUGCUUCCCUUUUCCUACAUAAGGCUUUCUACGGCAGUUUGGAGUGAGAUUCCAAAAUAAAUGUAAUAGCAAAAAAAAAAGCAAAAUUAAUUUUGAAUUGGAUGCAUAAGGAAUUAAAGUGAGAUUAGAAAAGUUUAUUCAUUGGGGCCUGAAUAGCCAUCAAACAGAAGAAUUUGGGAGAAUGUUUAACCUCAAUAUAGAAGUGAAAGCCCUUCAUCUGACUGGCUGAUACACCCACCCCAGGCACUUCCCUUGUUUGCCAUUUGUGACUAUAGCUUGCUAAUAUCACAUCAGUAAUGGCUUGACUUGCACAAAAAGAAUGUAAGCACAAUAGAUGCCAUCUUUGUAUUAAAAAGCAGUAUACUGUAAUUGCUCUUAUAUUUUAUAUCACUCCUUUCUUACCAAGAAUAAUUAUAGCGACAAACUGCAUUCGACAUCCCGCUCUCAGAAUUUGUGGGGUUUGUUGGUUUACCAUUUUUGCCAUUCUGUUGUAUCUAUAGAUAAUAAGAUGUUAUUUAUAAUCAUUAUCGAAUAGAAUAACCAAAGCAAUCUUGAAUAUUUACCACUCAUGCUAAGAAAGUGAUUACAUGCUGUUUAUGAGGCUCAUUCUUCAUGUAUGUUAAAAAUAAAAUUAUGGCAUACGAUGUUCACAUUUCAAAUUCUAUCAGUUCCUUCUAUUCUAUGAAAACAUGUCAAUGUUGUGAUUUCAAAAUCAUGAUUCUCAACAUGACAUAC